Molecule: ribosomal RNA, 338 nt
Filed under: uncultured Escherichia sp.
Lineage: Bacteria; Pseudomonadati; Pseudomonadota; Gammaproteobacteria; Enterobacterales; Enterobacteriaceae
Description: bacterial SSU rRNA
Rfam family: Bacterial small subunit ribosomal RNA
Source: RNAcentral
GUUAUACCUUUGUCAUUGACGUUAGAAGAAGCACCGGCUAACUCCGUGCCAGCAGCCGCGGUAAUACGGAGGGUGCAAGCGUUAAUCGGAAUUACUGGGCGUAAAGCGCACGCAGGCGGUUUGUUAAGUCAGAUGUGAAAUCCCCGGGCUCAACCUGGGAACUGCAUUGAUACUGGCAAGCUUGAGUCUCGUAGAGGGGGGUAGAAUUCCAGGUGUAGCGGUGAAAUGCGUAGAGAUCUGGAGGAAUACCGGUGGCGAAGGCGGCCCCCUGGACAAAGAUUGACGCUCAAGUGCGAAAGCGUGGGGAGCAAACAUGAUUAUAUACCCUGGUAGUCCAU